CAGAAUCAGGUUGAUCAAGUCGGUAGGUGGGCACAGGGGUCUUGGGCUGACAUGCGCCGACACCCGGUACUGAAUAGCCCACGAGCAAGGGCAGAAUCGGUAUGGCAUAUAAUAAAAUGACGCAGCGGAUCGACGACAAACACUAAGGACUUGAUGCAAGUGUAGCGUUAUAUAGUCGUUUGUGAACCAGCAAUGGGCAGUGACUACCAGAUGAGCUUCUGUUGCUAAGACAUUCGCGCCCUCUCUUGGUCCAGCUUGGGGCCCAUACUGGAUCAUAGCUGAAAAUUGCACAUGCGCCAAAGGACACGGUUGUUAUUGUGUUGUUAGAAAGUAUCUUGAACACAAAUUGUUCCACUAAAAAAACCAAACUCUUUUUUUCAAAUUCUGACGUUUUUUUUUCGACGUCAAUUUUUUUUUCAAAUAGUGCCACUUUCGGGCCCGAUGGCACCCAAACUUACUCAGAAUUGGAAGCCCAAAGUCCAGGCCAGAGCUUCAGUGCCAUAUUUCUCUAAUUCCUCAAUUUCAUGGCUCUCAGGACUGUCUAAUAGAGAAUAUUUUGAGUGUACAUGUAUAACUUUUAUCGAUGAGCUCGACGGACAUGUUUUGGGCCUUUUUGCAUGGGUGCACCCAUAGGUACCCGCAAUACUCCUGUAUGAAUUCAUUGACGUACCUAGAUAAGGGGUAUGGUGUGUAAUAAUUGCAACCCCCAUAGCAACGCCUGUGCUUGACCUCAAACUUUAUCGUUUGACAUGGCAGUUGGUUGAACAAACUCAAGGCAUAUUGUGUUCCCUUUAAAAGCCAUGCCUAAAAUAUUCGAACUGGCGUUCAUGCGUAACAUCGGACUUGGAACGUUUCAAGGUCAGGACACGAGUCACAACGUCAGCGGAAAAUAAUCCGGCAACUCUGACGAAGUUAUAUAGGGAGGGGCACUAUAUAAGGACUGACCGUGGUUGGUCUAUCUAGUCUGUGCCGAUCUGCCACCUUCCAGAGGCCAUAGGAUAGAGAGAAGUCGUUACUGUUGGCAUUCUAAACCAAUAUUCGAGAUGAAGCCGAUCACCGCUCUCUUUGCGAUUUUCGCCUUGAUGUUUACGACGACUACAGCGAUACCAACCUGUCCCCAAUGGUUUGAAAAAGACGAAGGCUUGUAUGGGGUUUGCUUGUCCCCAAAAGCCCUCUCUUACGACGAAGGAUGGAGUUAUUGCUGUGGACUGCACGCCAGCCUGUGCAGUCUGGCUCAGCUGGACGAGCUCUACCAGUUGGGCGCGAGAGACUAUCGCUGGGGCCUCAUCAAUGACGAAUCGAGGGACGCGCGCCUCACGGUGUGCGGGCAAUACCUGCACACACCCGGCGAGUGCUACAACAACAACUUCCCCAACACCCCGAGGCCGGCACCAAAGAACGAGGUGUACUGCUGUAAGAUGACUAAAUAAAAAUGCCUUAUCGAUACGGUGUCGGUAAAAAUGUUUUUACGGCAAACUACUACACGGCAAUCGGAAUUUGGAAAAGCAUGGUAACUACUUUCGCAUAAACGUAGGUUUAUUGGGUCAGCGGGUGUAGCAGUUUAGAUUAAUUAAUAUGACAAUGUAUCUUUUUGAGGCUUACAUUUUGUUAAUCGAAGAAAAAGAAGGUUCAAAAACAGUGGACGCAUAAACCCAGGAGUGGUCGUGCAAUGAAGAUAUUCAAAUAGUUCCGUCACGGUCGUAUUUACACCCAGCUUCAGUGUGUCAUUGCUCGGUGCAUUUUUGGUGUCAAAAUCGGGCCGUUUUGUCCAAACGUGAUCGUGUGAACUCAGUUCAGCAAUGGGUAGCAAACACGAACAGCGCCAGUGACCUUUGUCAGAAUAUGGCCUGUCAUGGUGUUGGUAUUUGUAUGUGAUUGGAUAGGGAUUUGAAUAGCGAAUGAAAUGAACAAGUUAAAUCUUUGCUGUCCAAUAUUGUGGCGUUCUUUCAAACAAGGUUAGUCGGUCAUUUCAAAGAUAUCUGCAAAACGGUCACGUCACAAUAGGCAUGCGCCCUACAUAUUAAUAGAUGCUUAAGCAAAAAAAUAGUUUAGUGGAAAGGAUUUCUGAAUCAAGAGCAUGCUUCAAAUAAUUGUUGGUCUUCACCUUAAAGUGUUGUUGCAAUGAAUUCUUCUGUGUACUAUCAAACAACGCCUUAUGCUCUAUAGUUUAGUGGAAAAUAAAAUAUACCUUGGCACCUUUAAAAGUCAAAUUUGCAAGUCGUCGCAGUGCAUUUUUAUGAGGAGUUGAGCCUUUAAGAGUUUGUAGAGUAACUCUUGACGGUAUUUGAUAUAUACUUUGUAUUAAAAAAUCGAGCAUACCUGUCUUGCGCAAGGCGAUUUUCGAGCCAGAUGAGCCAAAGUAUAUACUUUCUCACGCGGCUGUCAAUGCUCGUGGGGCUGGCUUGCAUGUAACCCUGAACUUUACAUUGCCGUAUUUACAAAAGUAAAGUGUCUCUGAUUGAGUUGAAAUUUCAUGUUUGUAACAAUAAACUAAGUGUUUUGAGAUGCAUUUUUCAAAAAAAAUAUGGAGCGUGGCACAGAUGAGUUCUUGGGGGAGCCGAAUUUUUUCCAGAGACACCUUUUUAUUUGUCUCUUAUAUAUUGUACAUAUUGUGUAUAUUGGCUUUACGGUUUUACUGAAAAUUGUUGUCAUUAUUUCACUUUGUAAAUGCAAG
Molecule: unclassified non-coding RNA, 2674 nt
Organism: Acanthaster planci (crown-of-thorns starfish)
Lineage: Eukaryota; Metazoa; Echinodermata; Asteroidea; Valvatida; Acanthasteridae
Source: RefSeq, a predicted model, not a curated record